UAAGUAAAUACUACACACAGUUAAAUGAACACUGUAAAUAAUUAAAUUAAUAUGGUACACGGUUAACUAACUAUGGUAUAUAAUUAAAUAAUAUGGUAUAUAGUUAAUUUACCACUAUGUACAAUUAAAUUAACAUGGCAUACAGUUAACUAAAUAUGGUAUACAAUUAAUUUACUAAUAUACAUAAUGGUCAUCGAUUGGAUAGGAGGCGA
Molecule: long non-coding RNA, 212 nt
Filed under: Elaeis guineensis (African oil palm)
Lineage: Eukaryota; Viridiplantae; Streptophyta; Magnoliopsida; Arecales; Arecaceae
Description: long non-coding RNA (EGUI_LNC019491)
Source: RNAcentral